RNAcentral lists this microRNA precursor (187 nucleotides) under Mus caroli (Ryukyu mouse). RNAcentral describes it as "miRNA (MGP_CAROLIEiJ_G0007018.1)". The record is from RNAcentral. Lineage: Eukaryota; Metazoa; Chordata; Mammalia; Rodentia; Muridae.
UUCCCGUUCCUCUUCCUCUUCCUCCUCCUCUUCCUCUGGCGCUCCUUUUAGUUUGAUCUUUGUUUAACUUUGGUCUGAGGGUAAAAAUUGACUUCAUAAAAAAAAUUGAAUUUGAGACACUUCAAAUUACUGCUUUGAUUUCAUUGGUUGUUAUGUGUCUGUGUAAAUUAUUUGCUUCAGCUUGAUU